GACUAACGCUGGCGGCGUGCCUAACACAUGCAAGUCGAACGAAGCAGCAAUGCUUAGUGGCAGACGGGUGAGUAACGCGUAGAUAAUGUGCCCUCUUGCGGGGGAUACCGUUUCGAAAGGAACGUUAAUACCGCAUAACACCUUCGGUGGGCAUCCAUCGAGGGUCAAACUUCCGGGGCGGGAGGAGCAAUCUGCGUUCUAUCAGGUAGUUGGUGAGGUAACGGCUCACCAAGCCUACGACGGAUAACUGGUCUGAGAGGAUGAUCAGUCACACUGGAACUGAGACACGGUCCAGACUCCUACGGGAGGCAGCAGUGAGGAAUAUUGCGCAAUGGGCGAAAGCCUGACGCAGCGACGCCGCGUGGAGGAUGAAGGCCUUCGGGUUGUAAACUCCUGUCAGUGGGGAAGAGAAUGGACGGUACCCACUGAGGAAGCUUCGGCUAACUACGUG
RNAcentral lists this ribosomal RNA (451 nucleotides) under uncultured organism. RNAcentral's name for it is "bacterial SSU rRNA". It matches the Rfam family "Bacterial small subunit ribosomal RNA", at positions 28 to 507 of the family's 1533-position model. The record is from RNAcentral.